Molecule: transfer RNA, 74 nt
Filed under: Gadus morhua (Atlantic cod)
Lineage: Eukaryota; Metazoa; Chordata; Actinopteri; Gadiformes; Gadidae
Description: tRNA-Asn (GTT) (tRNA-Asn-GTT-8-1)
Rfam family: tRNA
About the family: Transfer RNA (tRNA) molecules are approximately 80 nucleotides in length. Their secondary structure includes four short double-helical elements and three loops (D, anti-codon, and T loops).
Source: RNAcentral
GUCUCUGUGGCGCAAUUGGUUAGCGCGUUCGACUGUUAAUCAAAUGGUUGGUGGUUCAAGCCCACCCAGGGACG